This 66-nucleotide transfer RNA is filed under the name Curculionoidea sp. 23 KM-2017. RNAcentral's name for it is "tRNA-Asp". It matches the Rfam family "tRNA". From Rfam's summary of the family: Transfer RNA (tRNA) molecules are approximately 80 nucleotides in length. Their secondary structure includes four short double-helical elements and three loops (D, anti-codon, and T loops). The record is from RNAcentral. Lineage: Eukaryota; Metazoa; Arthropoda; Insecta; Coleoptera.
AAAAAUUUAGUUUAACAUUCAAAACGUUAGUUUGUCAGACUAAAAAUAUUACUUUAAUAAUUUUUU